This 1259-nucleotide long non-coding RNA is filed under the name Manihot esculenta (cassava). RNAcentral's name for it is "long non-coding RNA (MESC_LNC009103)". Lineage: Eukaryota; Viridiplantae; Streptophyta; Magnoliopsida; Malpighiales; Euphorbiaceae. The record is from RNAcentral.
UUAGAAAAUACAUUUUACCCUUCUAGAGAGAUCCAACACCCUAGAUUCCGCCGGAAGGCAGGAAUCCCGAUGCCGGAUUCUAGCCGGGUAUUACAUUCUUCCCCCCUUACAGAACAUUCGUCCCCGAAUGUUCCUCAACUACUCAUGCAUAAAAACAUAACAUAAGAACAUAUCAUCAUACAUACACAUCAAGCAAGCAAUCAAGCAAGCAAGACCUCUAAACUUUCUCCUAAAAGAGACACGGCAUUGCCGGAGUCAAAACUCCCGGUUCUCCUAAGAACACUCCUCAAACUGGGGUGAUUCUACAGGACCUCUCCAUCUGACUCUCCUUGUUCCAGAACUAACUAACUGAUGUGUCCAAGAUCCACAAUAGCUGCUCAACUCAGGUGAGAUCCCUUGGGACCUCCACCUCUGGUUCGUCAAGAACCCUACUUGGAUCUGACACGAACUUUAUAAAGUGGAACGUGGAAAUCCGAAUGGAUUCUCUCCCUUAUGAAUCACCCUUCUCAAAGGAGACACCUCAAGCAAUACCUCAACCUCCUCCUGAACUCCUCCUGCUUCCACUGCGCUACUCUGAUCUUCUCUUCUGAUCCGCAAGGAUCCAUCCUUCUUUUCCACGAAAACCGGCACUAGAACACCCCAAGGAGAGUGACUAGGUCGGAUGAAACUCUCAUCUACUAACUCCUGCAGUUGCUCCUCCAACUCAAAACUCUGCAGGUGCCAACCUGUAGGGAAGGAUAGAAAUGGUUCUGGGUCCAGACACCACUCCUAUUCCAAGCUCUAACUCCCUAACAGAUGGUAAACCUGACAGCUCGCCUAGGCAGACAUCUAAGAACUCUCUAACUACUACUGGCACUGAGGCUGGUUCCCCGACCUGACUGCUAAACUCACCAGCAGGAACUAGAACCCUCUGACAACCCCUCCUACGCACCCUAUGAGCCUGACAGGCUGACAUCAAACUUCUAGGCAACCUACACUGUCCCCUCAAAAGACUACCUCUGACCCAUCCUGUCCUCUGAACCUGGCCACCUAGUCUCUACGGACCAAGGUAGCACCACAAGUAGAAACCCAAUCCAUUCCGAGAGUGACGUCUGAACAUUCAAGUCCAAGACCUCAAAAUCGGGUGGAUGGAUUCUACCCUCAGUUGACACCUGAACUGAACCGGCAGACUGACUCUGCCUCAGAUGGAUCACACUUGGGUCCACUGACCCUGAGAGAACACUCUAGCCUAGAAGUUAUCAACCCAACCCCUCGACGAC